CAGCAGUGACUAGUGGGGUACCGCAAGGCUCGGUGCUGGGACCAGCAGUGACUAGUGGGGUACCGCAAGGCUCGGUGCUGGGACCAGCAGUGAUUAGUGGGGUACCGCAAGGCUCAGUGCUGGGACUGCAGCUAUUUACAAUAUACAUCAAUAAUUUGGAUGAAGGGAUUCAAAGUAACAUUAGCAAAUUUGCAGAUGACGCAAAGCUCGUUGGCAGUGUGAACUGUGAGGAGGAUGCUAUGAGGAUGCAGGGUGACUUGGACAGGUUGGGGGAGUGGGCAGAUGCAGUUUAAUGUGGAUAAUUGUGAGGUUAUCCACUUUGGUUGCAGAUUAUUAACUAAAAAGUAACAAUUUUUUUCAUCACAAGUAUUUUUUUACUCGUGAAGUUUCAUCAACGGUGUGAAAAAAUGUCCAGGAGUUAAAAAAUAUUGGUGAUGAAAAAAAUGGUUACUUUUUACUCGUAGAAGCUCGUGAACAUACUCGUGGACAGGGGCUUAAAUCUUCUCUGUAUCCUAUCCAGUUUGACAACAUUGUUUCUGUACCAGGGUAACCAAAACGGAAAACACAAUACUCCAAAUUUGGCCUCACGAAUGUCGUGUCAAGUUGGGAAAAGGGGAAGUACAACGGGAUCUGGGGGUCCUUGUACAUCAGUCACUGAAAGUAAGCAUGCAGGUUACAGCAGGCAGUGAAGAAAGCCAAUGGCAUUUUGGCCUUUAUAAUAAGAGGAGUUGAGUAUAGGAGCAAAGAGGUCCUUCUACAUUUGUACAGGGCCCUAGUGAGACCACACCUGGAGUAUUGUGUGCAGUUUUGGUCUCCACAUUUGAGGAAGGACAUUCUUGCUAUUGAGGGAGUGCAGCGUAGGUUCACCGGGUUAAUUCCCGGGAUGGCGGGACUGUCAUAUGUUGAUAGAAUGGAGCGGCUGGGCUUGUACACUCUGGAGUUUAGAAGGAUGAGAGGAGAGAGAGUUUAGUUUAGAGAUACAGGGCAGAAACAGGCCCUUCGGCCCACCGGGUCAGCGCCGACCAGCGAUGCCCACACACUAACACUAUCCUACACACACUAGGGACAAUUUUUACAUUUACCAAGCACCAUUAGCCAUAUAACAAUUACAACACGGAAGCAGGCCAUUCAGCCCUUCUAGUCCGUGCCGAACACUUAUUUUCCCCUAGUCCCAUCUACCUGCACUCAGACCAUAACCCUCCAUUCCUUUCCCAUCCAUAUACCUAUCCAAUUUAUUUUUAAAUGAUAAAAUUGAACCUGCCUCCACCACUUCCACUGGAAGCUCAUUCCACACAGCUACCACUCUCUGAGUAAAGAAGUUCUCCCUCAUGUUACCCCUAAACUUCUGUCUCUUAAUUCUCACAUCAUGUCCUCUUGUUUGAAUCUUCCCUACUCUCAAUGGAAAAAACUUAUUCACGUCAACUCUGUCUAUCCCUCUCAUCAUUUUAAAGACCUCUAUCAAGUCCCCCCUUAACCUUCUGCGCUCCAAAGAAUAAAGACCUAACUUGUUCAACCUUUCUCUGUAAUUUAGUUGCUGAAACCCAGGCAACAUUCUAGUAAAUCUCCUCUGUACUCUCUUUAUUUUGUUGACAUCCUUCCUAUAAUUAGGCAACCAAAAUUGUACACCCUACUCCAGAAAUGGCCUCACUAAUGCCUUGUACAAUUUUAACAUUACAUCCCAACUUCUAUACUCAAUGCUCAGAUUUAUAAAAGCCAGCACACCAAAAGCUUUCUUUACCACCCUAUCUACAUGAGAUUCCACCUUCAGGGAACUAUGCAAAGUUAUUCCUCGAUCCCUCUGUUCAACUGCAUUCCUCAAUUUGCUACCAUUUACCAUGUACGUCCUAUUUUGAUUUGUCCUGCCAAGAUGUAGCACCUCACACUUAUCAACAUUUAAACUCCAUCUGCCAUCUUUCAGCCCACUUUUCCAAAUGGCCGAAAUCUCUCUGUAGACUUUGGAAAUCUAUUUCAUUAUCCACAACACCACCUAUCUUAGUAGCAUCUGCAUACUUACUAAUCGAUCAUUGAUGGAUAUGACAAACAACAGUGGACCCAACACAGAUCCCUGUGGCACCCCACUAGUCACUGGCCUCCAACCUGACAAACAGCCAUCCACCAUUACUCUCUGGCAUCUCCCAUUCAGCCACUGUUGAACCCAUCUUGCUACUCCACCAUUAAUACCCAACAAUUGAACCUUCUUAACCAACCUUCCAUGAGGAACCUUGUCAAAGGCCUUACUGAAGUCCAUAUAUACAACAUCCACCGCUUUACCCUCAUCAAUUUCCCUAGUAACCUCUUCAAAAAAUUCAAGUCAAACAUGACCUUCCAGGCACAAAUCCAUCUUGACUGUUCCUAAUUAACCUACAAACCUGCACGUCUUUGGAGUGGGAGUAAACGGAAGAUCUGGGUGGGAAGACUGUGUGGGAUCAAUGAAUCCUGGGCACCAGUUAGGACUGCAAAUAUCCUGGACAGGCUCGGCUCAUAAGACUAGCCUCCUGAAAGUAAGCAUGCAGGUACAGCAGGCAGUGAAGAAAGCGAAUGGCAUGUUGGCCUUCACAACAAGAGGAGUUGAGGAUAGGAGCAAAGAGGUCCUUCUGCAGUUGUACCGGGCCCUAGUGAGACCACACCUGGAGUAUUGUGUGCAGUUUUGGUCUCCAAAUUUGACGAAGGACAUUCUUACUAUUGAGGGAGUGCAGCGUAGGUUUACCAGGUUAAUUCCCGGGAUGGCGAGAAUGUCAUAUGCUGAGAGAAUGGAGUGGCUGGGCAUGUACACUCUGGAGUUUAGAAGGAUGAGAGGGGAUCUUAUUGAAACAUAUAAGAUUAUUAAGGGUUUGGACCUGCUAGAGGCAGGAAACAUGUUCCCGAUGUUGGGGGAGUCCAGAACCAGGGGGCCACGGUUUAAGAAUAAGGGAUAGGCCAUUUAGAACAGAGACGAGGAAACCCUUUUUUCACACUGAGAGUUGUGUAUCUGUGGAAUCAAGAGAGAGCUAGAUAGGGCUCUUAAGGUUAGUGGAGUCAGGGGAUAUGGGGAGAAGGCAGGAACGGGGUACUGAUUGUGGAUGAUCAGCCAUGAUCACAGUGAAUGGCGGUGCUGGCUGGAAGGGCCGAAUGGCCUACUCCUGCACCCAUUGUCUAUUGUCUAAUAGGUUUAAGGUGAGGGGGGAAAGAUUUAAUAGGAAUCGGAGCGGGUAACGUCUUCAUGCAAAGGGUGGUGGGUGUAUGGAACGAGUUGCCAGAGGAGGUAGAUGAGGCCGAUACUAUUGCAACGUUUAGGAAACUGUUGGACAGGUACGUGGAUAGGACAGGUUUAGAGGGAUAUGGACCAAAUGCAGGCAGGUGGGACUAGUGUAGAUGGGGCAUGUUGGCCGGUGUGGGCAAGUUGGGCCGAAGGGCCUGUUUCCACACUGUAUCUAUCACUCUAUGACUAGAGUGUGGAUUUUGUACAAUGGCCCCUCUUGUUUACACGAUCAGUAGACUGUUUAUGUACACUUGCUGACCUGGGGUACGGUAAUACUCUGCUGGACUGUUUGUAAUCAAAAAUAUAAUUUCAAUGUGUAGCAUUUCACACCUGUGACAAUAAAAGUGCCAAUGAGAUUCCGACAA
This is a long non-coding RNA of Leucoraja erinaceus (little skate), 3603 nucleotides long. RefSeq lists it as uncharacterized. NCBI's taxonomy places the organism in Eukaryota, Metazoa, Chordata, Chondrichthyes, Rajiformes, Rajidae. The record is from RefSeq and is a predicted model, not a curated record. The transcript has 2 exons.